Molecule: long non-coding RNA, 1995 nt
Organism: Neopsephotus bourkii (Bourke's parrot)
Lineage: Eukaryota; Metazoa; Chordata; Aves; Psittaciformes; Psittacidae
Exons: 4
Source: RefSeq, a predicted model, not a curated record
UGGUUAAUCGCGGAACUAACAGAGGGGCGAGCAAAUGACACUGAGAUCAAAUGCAGCCGUUGGCCUGAAAGGGCAUUUCUGGAAGAGCUGUUACCGGCAAGUGGGUGUGAAAAUACCUGUCGUAGUCGCGCCUGAACGACAGGUACUCCCCAAGCUCAAAGCAAAAUGAAUCCCAUGUGAAUAAAGAGGAAUUACGUGCAGAGAAAAUUGCGUGCAAAUUGCGGUUGUCCAUGGAGGAGGGCGGAGUGGUGGCCUGAACAGAGCGAUUGCUAAAGAGGCGAUUCUCCUCUGUUAAGAAUCGCACACUGAUUUACACACAAUUUAUCCUUCGUUCUGGGCAGUACAAUGCUCCUGAGGUGUCUUUCUCAACCAGGUAUUUCCACUUACCGCAUCAGAUUUGAAUAACAUGAAGAGGAAGUCGGGCUUCGCACCUCCCUCAUUAAAAGGGAGUAAAUAAUAAGAUAAUACAGGGACCAACAAAUAAAUCUAGCUUUAGAUUCAAAACUUCCAAAUGGGGACAGGCAAUUGGCUAAGCAGGCAGAGGGGCAAAAUUCAGCUGAUUCUUGACAGAUUUGGCAGAGUAAAAAUGAAAGUUCUUCACAUGCUUAACCUUAAUAUUGCAUAAAUACAGGUUAUACCUUAUCUUUGUAAUGUACAUCCAUAAAAAGCAAAAGAAAAUACAGGUGGUGGUACAGAAUGGCAUUCAUUAAGGACUCGGUCUUAAUGUCUUUAGAGUCAUUAACUUCAAGAGGUCAGAGUCCAAGCCAGAUUUUCUUCUGGGGCUCAAAACCUUUGUGGAAUAAGAGGAGGCAAGGAUCCAUUCUUGCAUGCCGUUGCUGAAGGAAUUGCAAGUCGUGUCAGAGGCAGUCACAAGAUUUUUUUUCAUUGUGAGGGAAGAGCCAAAAAAGGAUAGGCUGCAGGAGGAAAACAGUAGGGUUUCUCUCCAGGGGCUGAAUCAGAAAGUGCCUGACUGGUGUCAUACUCGUGAGCGCCUUGCUGGAAAUACUUGAAAUUUGAGGUAAUUGGACACAAAGAUGAUAUGAAGCUUCCUGCAAGAAGCUGAGCACUCUGGAGUCAUAAAAAGAUGUUUGGUCCUGCUCCCAAGGGAUGACUUUAUGCCUACUGCUGUGGUAGCAGACUUGAGGCUGCUGUUUGUGUCUCUGGCAAACAGCAGACAGAUCAGAGUUUCUUUUUGCCUAAUUGAGCAGCAUUUCUUCCUGGGACUGGUUUGCAAUAAUCCUGAGGUCUCAUCUGGGAGAACACUGAAAAAUACAGGAGAAGCAGCCAAGGGAGGCAUCUAUCACCAUGAGUUUCUCUCUUCAUAAAGGCAUCAGGUUUGGCCUCAAGUGCUGAGGGUUAAAAAUAAGCUAAAGAUUCAGUGUGAUGCAGAGCAGUGUGUUGAUCAGAGUGAGUGAUCAGAGGAAGGUGUAUCUCAGAUAUGAGCUAAAAAGACGGGUAAUUAACAGCCAUUCAGAAAACAAGGAACUUGAGGUGGAGCAGGGGGUGAGAAUUCCACCAGAGCUUGCACCAGAAAUGUGUUGAUUCCACUUUCCUUGCCAAAGGCAUUUAUCAAGGGUAAAUCUAAUCAAGAGACAAAAGGUGAACAAGAACAAUAAUAACUGAGGAGGUUUGGUUUUAUUUACCCAGGAGAUAAGGAUUCAACUACAGGAAGAGAAUGAGAAAAAGGCGCCUCUUUUCUGAGUAGACAAUUAUUCCACCCACACUCACUCAUCAUCAAGAUUUUAAUAAUCUGUUACUAAAGCUAUUUAACAGUUUCUCAGCCUCAGGGCUGGCAGUCUUGGUGCAGGUACUCUGCCAGUUGUCACAGGUGUCUUUUUACAAAAGACCUGAAUAAUUAACAUGGGAGAGUGCUGAAGAUGGCUGUAGCCAGGAGCCAUUCUUCAGCAGACUCCCAGCAUUGUUCCUGGUGAUAGAGGAGGGUUAGUGCUAAUACUAGGAAGACACAUUUGAAAACCGUAUUUUCAUAUGCAGACA